GUGCUUGCUUGGCAGCAUGUAUACUAAAAUUAGAAUGAUACAGAGAAGAUUAGUAUGGCCCCUGCAUAAGGAUGACCAUAUUAAUUUGUGAAAGUAAUGCAUACUUCU
Molecule: small nuclear RNA, 108 nt
Organism: Balaenoptera musculus (blue whale)
Lineage: Eukaryota; Metazoa; Chordata; Mammalia; Artiodactyla; Balaenopteridae
Source: Ensembl